AUUGAACGCUGGCGGCAGGCCUAACACAUGCAAGUCGAACGGUAACAGGAAACAGCUUGCUGUUUCGCUGACGAGUGGCGGACGGGUGAGUAAUGUCUGGGAAACUGCCUGAUGGAGGGGGAUAACUACUGGAAACGGUAGCUAAUACCGCAUAACGUCGCAAGACCAAAGAGGGGGACCUUCGGGCCUCUUGCCAUCGGAUGUGCCCAGAUGGGAUUAGCUAGUAGGUGGGGUAACGGCUCACCUUGGCGACGAUCCCUAGCUGGUCUGAGAGGAUGACCAGCCACACUGGAACUGGGACACGGUCCAGACGCCUACGGGAGGCAGCAGUGGGGAAUAUUGCACAAUGGGAGCAAGCCUGAUGCAGCCAUGCCGCGUGUAUGAAGAAGGCCUUCGGGUUGUAAAGUACUUUCAGCGGGGAGGAAGGCGGUGAGGUUAAUACCCUUGCCGAUUGACGUUACCCGCAGAAGAAGCACCGGCUAACUCCGUGCCAGCCGCCGCAGUAA
This 506-nucleotide ribosomal RNA is filed under the name uncultured bacterium. RNAcentral describes it as "partial 16S ribosomal RNA". It matches the Rfam family "Bacterial small subunit ribosomal RNA", at positions 30 to 523 of the family's 1533-position model. The record is from RNAcentral.